CCUACGGGAGGCAGCAGUGAGGAAUAUUGGUCAAUGGGCUUACGCCUGAACCAGCCAAGUCGCGUGAGGGAAGACUGCCCUCUGGGUUGUAAACCUCUUUUGUCAGGGAGCAAUUGGCGCUACGUGUAGCGUUAUCGAGAGUACCUGAAGAAAACGCAUCGGCUAACUCCGUGCCAGCAGCCGCGGUAAUACGGAGGAUGCGAGCGUUAUCCGGAUUGAUUGGGUUUAAAGGGUGCGUAGGCGGAAUGCCAAGUCAGCGGUAAAAUCGCGGGGCGAAACCUCGCUCCGCCGUUGAAACUGGCGUUCUUGAGUGGGCGAGAAGUAUGCGGAAUGCGUGGUGUAGCGGUGAAAGGCAUAGAUAUCACGCAGAACACCGAGUGCGAAGGCAGCAUACCGGCGCCCAACUGACGCUGAAGCACGAAAGCGUGGGUAUCGAACAGGAUUAGAUACCCUUGUAGUC
RNAcentral lists this ribosomal RNA (460 nucleotides) under uncultured bacterium. RNAcentral describes it as "partial 16S ribosomal RNA". It matches the Rfam family "Bacterial small subunit ribosomal RNA", at positions 338 to 795 of the family's 1533-position model. The record is from RNAcentral.